Long non-coding RNA from Anthonomus grandis grandis, 541 nucleotides. RefSeq lists it as uncharacterized. The record is from RefSeq and is a predicted model, not a curated record. The transcript is spliced from 2 exons. Lineage: Eukaryota; Metazoa; Arthropoda; Insecta; Coleoptera; Curculionidae.
CAAAGUCAUUAGUUUUUAUGGUUAAUCCUAUAAUAUAAUAAUUAUACACCGAUUAUUAUCCUUUUAUGUUUUGCUCAGACUUUUCGUCCAUCGUGAAAUGUGACGCCCUCGAAAACGCCAAAAGGCAAAAACGUGUGGCAGAUGAAAUAAGGCACAUAAAAUGUCCGAUUAUUAAAUUAGUGAGGAGACAGAUUGAAAACGCCGAACACCGGAUUUGUGAUAGCUUUGCUGCUUGUGAAAGAAACCGAUCUUGGAAAAACAAACUAUGGAGAAAAAGAUGGACCAUUCUGAAAUAUCUCAUAACCUUGAUGGUAAUGUUAUGUCUAUUCGUCUAUGGAGCAUUGAUUGGUGCCGGAUUGUGUUCGUGUAGCGUAUCCCAACAUAGUCUCCCUUGUGCCGGUACAUUUUCCUUAUUACCAGGACUGAAUUUUGCCAAAAGACAUACAUUUAUUUAUUAGGAAUUAUUUUUAUUAUGAUAUCUAGUCUUAUAUACACUAAUCUUAUAAAAAAAAUUACCAAAUAUAUAUUUUUUUAAAUAGGA